RNAcentral lists this ribosomal RNA (1399 nucleotides) under Pediococcus sp. FUA 3226. Its description in RNAcentral is "16S ribosomal RNA". It matches the Rfam family "Bacterial small subunit ribosomal RNA". The record is from RNAcentral. Lineage: Bacteria; Bacillati; Bacillota; Bacilli; Lactobacillales; Lactobacillaceae.
GAGUGGCGGACGGGUGAGUAACACGUGGGCAACCUGCCCAGAAGCAGGGGAUAACACCUGGAAACAGAUGCUAAUACCGUAUAACAGAGAAAACCGCCUGGUUUUCUUUUAAAAGAUGGCUCUGCUAUCACUUCUGGAUGGACCCGCGGCGCAUUAGCUAGUUGGUGAGGUAACGGCUCACCAAGGCGAUGAUGCGUAGCCGACCUGAGAGGGUAAUCGGCCACAUUGGGACUGAGACACGGCCCAGACUCCUACGGGAGGCAGCAGUAGGGAAUCUUCCACAAUGGACGCAAGUCUGAUGGAGCAACGCCGCGUGAGUGAAGAAGGGUUUCGGCUCGUAAAGCUCUGUUGUUAAAGAAGAACGUGGGUGAGAGUAACUGUUCACCCAGUGACGGUAUUUAACCAGAAAGCCACGGCUAACUACGUGCCAGCAGCCGCGGUAAUACGUAGGUGGCAAGCGUUAUCCGGAUUUAUUGGGCGUAAAGCGAGCGCAGGCGGUCUUUUAAGUCUAAUGUGAAAGCCUUCGGCUCAACCGAAGAAGUGCAUUGGAAACUGGGAGACUUGAGUGCAGAAGAGGACAGUGGAACUCCAUGUGUAGCGGUGAAAUGCGUAGAUAUAUGGAAGAACACCAGUGGCGAAGGCGGCUGUCUGGUCUGUAACUGACGCUGAGGCUCGAAAGCAUGGGUAGCGAACAGGAUUAGAUACCCUGGUAGUCCAUGCCGUAAACGAUGAUUACUAAGUGUUGGAGGGUUUCCGCCCUUCAGUGCUGCAGCUAACGCAUUAAGUAAUCCGCCUGGGGAGUACGACCGCAAGGUUGAAACUCAAAAGAAUUGACGGGGGCCCGCACAAGCGGUGGAGCAUGUGGUUUAAUUCGAAGCUACGCGAAGAACCUUACCAGGUCUUGACAUCUUCUGCCAACCUAAGAGAUUAGGUGUUCCCUUCGGGGACAGAAUGACAGGUGGUGCAUGGUUGUCGUCAGCUCGUGUCGUGAGAUGUUGGGUUAAGUCCCGCAACGAGCGCAACCCUUAUUACUAGUUGCCAGCAUUCAGUUGGGCACUCUAGUGAGACUGCCGGUGACAAACCGGAGGAAGGUGGGGACGACGUCAAAUCAUCAUGCCCCUUAUGACCUGGGCUACACACGUGCUACAAUGGAUGGUACAACGAGUCGCGAAACCGCGAGGUUUAGCUAAUCUCUUAAAACCAUUCUCAGUUCGGACUGUAGGCUGCAACUCGCCUACACGAAGUCGGAAUCGCUAGUAAUCGCGGAUCAGCAUGCCGCGGUGAAUACGUUCCCGGGCCUUGUACACACCGCCCGUCACACCAUGAGAGUUUGUAACACCCAAAGCCGGUGGGGUAACCUUUUAGGAGCUAGCCGUCUAAGGUGGGACAGAUGAUUAGG